AGACAAUAGAUACCCGGGUAGUCCUAGCUGUAAACGGUGCACGUUUGGUGUGGGAGGCAACCCCUUCCGUGCCGAAAGCUAAACGCGAUAAAAACGUGCCGCCUGGGUAGUACGGUCGCAAGACUAAAACUCAAAGAAAUUGACGGGGACCCGCACAAGCGGUGGAGUAUGUGGCUUAAUUCGAUGCAACGCGAAGAACCUUACCAGGGCUUGACAUGUAUUGUAACCCCGGUGAAAGCCGGGCAGCAUGGAAACAUGCGCUUUACACAGGUGCUGCAUGGCUGUCGUCAGCUCGUGUCGUGAGAUGUUGGGUUAAGUCCCGCAACGAGCGCAACCCUUAUGAUUUGUUGCCACCGGUUCAUUCCGAGCACUCAAAUCAGACUGCCCAGAUUAACUGGGAGGAAGGUGGGGAUGACGUCAAGUCCGUAUGGCCCUUACGUCCUGGGCUGCACACGUACUACAAUGUCCAGUACAAAUUGAACCGAUACCGCAAGGUGGAGGAAAUCAACAAAACUGGGCUCAGUUCAGAUUGCAGGCUGC
RNAcentral lists this ribosomal RNA (540 nucleotides) under uncultured bacterium. RNAcentral describes it as "bacterial SSU rRNA". It matches the Rfam family "Bacterial small subunit ribosomal RNA", at positions 775 to 1308 of the family's 1533-position model. The record is from RNAcentral.